UACGGGGGGGCAAGCGUUGUUCGGAAUUACUGGGCGUAAAGGGCUCGUAGGCGGCCAACUCAGUCGGACGUGAAAUCCCUCGGCUUAACCGGGGAAUGGCGUCCGAUACUGGAUGGCUUGAGUUUGGGAGAGGGAUGCGGAAUUCCAGGUGUAGCGGUGAAAUGCGCAGAUAUCAGGAGGAACACCGGUGGCGAAGGCGGGUCUCUGGGCCGAUACUGACGCUGAGGAGCGAAAGCGUGGGGAGCGAACAGG
Molecule: ribosomal RNA, 252 nt
Filed under: uncultured bacterium
Lineage: Bacteria
Description: partial 16S ribosomal RNA
Rfam family: Bacterial small subunit ribosomal RNA
Source: RNAcentral